GCUGCCCUUCCUUCUGUUUUCUCUUCCAGGUGAGAACAUUGAAAUCAGGCAGUUUUGUCAGAAGCAUCAGCUUUUCCAGUUAAAGCUGUAAAGCUGCUGGAGGGCCCCUCUGCGCAUUGUUUCCCUGGGAGGCAGGCGAGGCGAGGCGCGACUCACAUCCUCCCCUGGAAGCUUGAAUGUUCGCUGUUCGCGGGGCAUGACUCCCUCAGAGCCCGCUACCGCCAAGGCCUCUUCAGGGCAGAGCCUUGCUUCUCCGUGCUGUUUCCCACGGAGGGAGAAGACGGCUGUGGCCUGGCAGGCAGCCCAUCGGACAAGAAGCCAGUCGACUGCUGGCUGUUAAGAAACA
This is a long non-coding RNA of Myotis brandtii (Brandt's bat), 346 nucleotides long. RefSeq lists it as uncharacterized. The record is from RefSeq and is a predicted model, not a curated record. NCBI's taxonomy places the organism in Eukaryota, Metazoa, Chordata, Mammalia, Chiroptera, Vespertilionidae. The transcript has 2 exons.